RNAcentral lists this ribosomal RNA (497 nucleotides) under uncultured bacterium. Its description in RNAcentral is "partial 16S ribosomal RNA". It matches the Rfam family "Bacterial small subunit ribosomal RNA", at positions 28 to 507 of the family's 1533-position model. The record is from RNAcentral.
GAUGAACGCUGGCGGCGUGCCUAAUACAUGCAAGUCGAGCGAACGGACGAGAAGCUUGCUUCUCUGAUGUUAGCGGCGGACGGGUGAGUAACACGUGGAUAACCUACCUAUAAGACUGGGAUAACUUCGGGAAACCGGAGCUAAUACCGGAUGAUAUUUUGAACCGCAUGGUUCAAAAGUGAAAGACGGUCUUGCUGUCACUUAUAGAUGGAUCCGCGCUGCAUUAGCUAGUUGGUAAGGUAACGGCUUACCAAGGCAACGAUGCGUAGCCGACCUGAGAGGGUGAUCGGCCACACUGGAACUGAGACACGGUCCAGACUCCUACGGGAGGCAGCAGUAGGGAAUCUUCCGCAAAGGGCGAAAGCCUGACGGAGCAACGCCGCGUGAGUGAUGAAGGUCUUCGGAUCGUAAAACUCUGUUAUUAGGGAAGAACAUAUGUGUAAGUAACUGUGCACGUCUUGACGGUACCUAAUCAGAAAGCCACGGCUAACUACGUG